AUUCAGGCGUCCUCGUGUGAGUGACAUCGUCUUUAAACCCUGCAUGGCAAUCCCUGACGCACCGCCAUGAUGCCCAGGGAAGACAGGGCGACCUGGAAGUCCAACUACUUCCUAAAGAUCAUCCAACUCCUGGAUGAUUACCCAAAAUGCUUCAUUGUGGGAGCAGACAACGUGGGCUCCAAGCAGAUGCAGCAGAUCCGCAUGUCCCUCCGCGGGAAGGCUGUGGUGCUGAUGGGCAAGAACACAAUGAUGCGCAAGGCCAUCCGAAGGCACCUGGAAAACAACCCAGCUCUGGAGAAACUGUUGCCACACAUCCGGGGGAACGUGGGCUUUGUGUUCACCAAGGAGGACCUCACUGAGAUCAGGGACAUGCUGCUGGCCAAUAAGGUGCCAGCUGCCGCCCGUGCCGGUGCCAUAGCCCCGUGUGAGGUCACUGUGCCCGCCCAGAACACUGGUCUCGGGCCCGAGAAGACCUCCUUCUUCCAGGCUUUGGGCAUCACCACCAAAAUCUCCAGGGGCACCAUUGAAAUCCUGAGUGACGUGCAACUGAUCAAGACUGGAGACAAAGUGGGAGCCAGCGAAGCCACACUGCUGAACAUGCUGAACAUCUCCCCAUUCUCCUUUGGGCUGAUCAUCCAGCAGGUGUUUGAUUGAUGAUCAAACCCCCACUGAUGAUAGAAUGGGGCACGGAUGCCACAGUUGGGUAACCAAUCUGCAGACACACGCUGGCAACGUUGCGAACACCCUCCAGGAAACGAGAAUGCAGAGUCUCCUCUGUGAUGUCAAGCACUUCAGGGUUGUAGAUGCUG
This is a non-coding RNA of Vicugna pacos (alpaca), 809 nucleotides long. The record is from RefSeq and is a predicted model, not a curated record. NCBI's taxonomy places the organism in Eukaryota, Metazoa, Chordata, Mammalia, Artiodactyla, Camelidae.